CUCCAAACCUGUUCCUCCAGCACUCCUGACUCUCUUCAGUAAAUGGUACCUUUGUCUGUCAUGCAGCUUCUACUAAGUGCAAGUGGAUGUUACUCUGAAGUCCUCUACAUCUAGGUCACUGACCUGUGACUCCACCAUCAAAAGAUACCUCAACUUGGACCUCAUCUCCCUAACUCAACAGCCACCAUUAUGUUCCAGCCAUCCUGGGAGCUACCACUCCAAAACCAGUCCCAGAACCUGAGAAACAGACCACAUAGUUAAAAUUGCUGGAGUCAGAGCCGGCACCUUGCCAUUCACUGUUAUAUAUCUUGGAGUUGUGUUCAUAAUGAAGAAAAGUUAAAUUAAACAGCUGAUGAGACCUGGGGAGUGACUGUUGAGACUGACACCCUUUUGGUCCUCUGAAGUUGGGAGUCCCCCAGCCACCAUUUGCAAUAUGACUGAAUCCUCAAACUGACUGUGCACACCCUACCCCAUGGAAAGAGACCCUCCACAAGUUCUGAGUCCACUUUGGCUUAACAGCUACUGUGGUGAAGAGUAAACCCAGGCCCUUGCACAUGCAGGGCAAGUAUUCCUCCACUGAGUUACAUCGCCAACCCUUAAACUCUUAAUAACAUUUGUGUUAUGUUUAAGAGUUCAAAGUAAUGAAAAGGUAAGCCUCAAUUUUCUUUU
This is a long non-coding RNA of Sciurus carolinensis (gray squirrel), 669 nucleotides long. RefSeq lists it as uncharacterized. The transcript has 4 exons. Lineage: Eukaryota; Metazoa; Chordata; Mammalia; Rodentia; Sciuridae. The record is from RefSeq and is a predicted model, not a curated record.